Long non-coding RNA from Apis cerana (Asiatic honeybee), 1680 nucleotides. RefSeq lists it as uncharacterized. NCBI's taxonomy places the organism in Eukaryota, Metazoa, Arthropoda, Insecta, Hymenoptera, Apidae. The record is from RefSeq and is a predicted model, not a curated record.
GAAGAUGGCGCUGAUUUCACAAUUUUUAACCUAUCUCUGUUCUUGUCUUAUUAUUUACUCUCUUUGUCUAUAUUUAGUAUAUAAAAUUAAUUUUGUAAGGAUAAUGUAAAUACUUGUAACAAUCUAAACUGAAAAUAUCGAAGUUUUUUUUAAUAAGAAGAAAAAAAUAAUGAUUGGUUACUCGGCAAAAGGGCCGAAUUCACUUUCACAAACUGGUGCGAGUAAAGUGAAGGACUUUUUUUCCGAAACGAAAUCUGCACCUGAUUGCACCUGAAACAUUACCAAUUCAAAGGAUAAACUCGAGUAUAUUGGUUUAGUAGAAUUUUUUUCACCAAUAACAAAUGUCUUUGUUCAAAAAUUGAAACGUUGAUGAAUAACUUGUAAUGGUGUGAUGUGCUGAGUCAUUCAAGAAAUCGGACAAUAGUAUGCACAAAUCAAAAGAUAUAAAUGAAGAAAGAAAAAAGAAAAUCGAAGAAAAUCACGUAACGAGUCGUAGUGUUAUUUAACCUCGAUUAAACGUUCUUUUGCAUCGAGUCGAUUCGCACGAUAUCCAUAGUCAUUUCUUUUCCGGCCAGUCGUGGUAUCAGAACUUUCACGCUCGAAAUGUUGGCCAGCCAUUGCGAAAUCAGAUGAUAUUUACACAACCGUGUCGACUUUUCUCACUCGUUCACUUUAAUAAACGCGGGCUAAUUAUCGUAGAAAUUUUAACUAUUAUAACAAUUCUUGCAGGAAGAGUUGCAGUUGGACUACAUGUCGGAUGGGUCAUUAUAUUCCUCAAGGUUGGAUCGUCGGAAUAUAUGUAUAUACUACAUGUGUGUAAAAUAGAUCUUGAGAGAGGAUGUAUCUUGCUGCUAUGCACAUCUUAAUUAAAUACAUUUAUCGUUCAAUAUGUUUCGCAAUGUCGAAUAAAUAAAAAUCUAUUUCACGAAACGAUUUUGCAAGUGGAAAAAUUUUGAUGAGAAAUAUAAAAAAAAAAUUUAAAAUAGAUUUAUGGAUUGUGUUAUUGCCUCGAUAAAAUGUGGAUAUUAAAGAUUGAGUAAUUGAUAAAUGGAAGAUUACAAUUUUUUUGGAUUUUUAGCAAUUUUCAUUAUAAUCCGUUAAGAAUUAAGUGAAAGUAUCUAAAUAAUCCGUAAAUGAAAUAUUAUUAAGAAAUAUAUGUAAUAUGAUAUAUAUAUUAUAUAUAUCACUUUGUCAAAGUAUAAAAAAUACAUUAGAAUAAUGGAUACUUUACACAAGUCUAUUACACAAAUCACAUGAAUUAAUUUUUUUUUAAUUUUUAUGAAUAGCGAUAUGAGCUUUUACAUUUUAAAAUUCAGAAUCUAUUGACAUAAUUACCAAUUUUGUAGAAACUUCUGUUGUCAACUGAAUGUGAAUCCCUUUCACCAGCAAUCUGCAUGCUUAUGUAAUUCACAGCGAAUUAUUGAAGUGGUCAAUAUCCUUAAACAAAGUUAAUCUCUAAAAUAAUAAGUAAAGUAAUAAGUAUAAAAUAAAUGAAAUGAAUUAAAAAUAAUGAAUUAUAAUCAAAUUUCAUCAAAAUAUAUAUAUUAAAUUAUCAUAUAUUACAAAUAAUCAAAUCUUACAAAAAUAUAGAAAAUAUGAAAGAAUAAAAUUAUUAUUAUAUAUUAAUUAAAAGUAUAAUUUUAUUCAAUUAACAAAUAAUAACAAUUUUUAAAUUGAACA